This 774-nucleotide ribosomal RNA is filed under the name uncultured Neocallimastigales. RNAcentral's name for it is "partial large subunit ribosomal RNA". It matches the Rfam family "Eukaryotic large subunit ribosomal RNA", at positions 20 to 644 of the family's 3401-position model. Lineage: Eukaryota; Fungi; Neocallimastigomycota; Neocallimastigomycetes; Neocallimastigales. The record is from RNAcentral.
UACUAGAGUAGCACUCGCAUAUCAAUAAGCGGAGGAAAAGAAACUAACAAGGAUUCCCCUAGUAACGGCGAGUGAAGCGGGAAGAGCUCAAAUUUGAAAUCUUAAAGGGUUUCCCUUUACGAAUUGUAGUUUAAAGAAGUGUUUUCUGUUGAGGUUUUGGUAAAAGUUCUUUGGAAUAGGACAUCAUAGAGGGUGAGAAUCCCGUAUUUGACCUUUACUUUCAACUUUGUGAUACACUUUCAAAGAGUCGGAUUGUUUGGGAAUGCAGUCCAAAAUGGGUGGUAAAUUUCAUCUAAAGCUAAAUAUUGGCGAGAGACCGAUAGCGAACAAGUACCGUGAGGGAAAGAUGAAAAGAACUUUGAAAAGAGAGUUAAACAGUACGUGAAAUUGUCAAAAGGGAAGCGUUUGACACCAGUGUUGUUUUUCUGAAAAUCAAUUAAAGAACUGUUUAUGCUAAGUUGUUUAGACUUUAUCAGCUAACUGUUUAGUUUUGAGCCUUUCUUUAAUACACUUUUCAGUUAACAAGUCAACAUCAAUUUCUUUUGCUGUAAAAAAGCUUGAGGAAGGUGGCUUGAGAUUCGUCUUAAGUGUUUAUAGCCCCUUGCCUAUGCAGUCGGAGAGAUUGAGGUCUGCAGCGUAGAUCCUUCGGGGCUAAAUGCAUUUGUGUUAAGUUAUAGCAUUUUAUAGACAACUUGUUGACUAUGAUUUGUCUUGUAGCUUACUCGCUUAUGUUAUUUUACCUACGCUUAGGAUGUUGAACUACUGAGACAUAGA